UCCAACCUAACCCUUAGCCGUUGAGAGCUCAUAACCUCGAGCCCAGAGCCAAGAGCGCGCUCUCUCUUACUUCCUCAUCGUUUCUUAUGGAGCUUAUGAGUACAUCAAACCCUAAUCUAGUAGCACCUGCACAUUUUCAAAACCCUCCGCCUCUCAACCAAGCCGCAGACUCCCUCAGUUCUCUCCAUUCUUGUAAAAAAAAACACCACCACAAACCCUUGCCCCAUUUCUUCUCCGCUCAUCUCUGAAACCUUUGAAAUCACAGCCCCAACCCUCACUGAAAAGGACUGGGUUUCCAAAAAGAGACAUGAAGAUGGCGCUACGGGCCCAACCCCAACUCGCAAUGCAAGAAAGGAACUACGGAGUUCCUCCCAGCUCAGAUCCGUAAUCUCAAGAUUCUGCUCCUCCCCAUCACCACCAACAGUGGCGGAUAUUUCGAAGGUUGUUCUGGUGGAGUUUUACCAGCUGUCGGAAACUCGGGAAGGAAGAGGAGGGAGUGUUUAGGGUUGAGUAUGGGGAUGAGAUGGAGGGUGUGGAGGUGGCCGAGGCGGCGGCGGAGGAGAUCGGUAUAGCUGAUCUGGCAGUUGAGGAAGGCACCAGGGCUUUGAAGGACUUCAUACCCUACAAUGGGGUCUUGAACUUGGAGGGCGUUCACAGGCCACUGCUAGCGUGCAGGUUUCUCCCAGUCUAGUUUCAUUUCUGAUUUCUCACUGAGUCUUCCAACACCGACAGCCUUCCUUCGAAUCGUCUCUGACUCUCCAGCCGCCCAGCCUUCCUUCAUGAAUCACCACCCAGCCACCGCCACGCCAAAGCAUCAAAGACUGAACUCUCCAGCCUUCCUUCACGAAUCGUCUCCGACUCUUGCGAUCUCUCUCUCACGGACAGAACUCUCGAUCUAGCACCGAGUCCGAGUCUCACUCUCACCCCAAAUUAGGGAGAAGUGUUAGCAGGUUUAGCACUGCUGUAGCAACUGAGGAGUUAAUCAUUUCACCUGUUCAAACUUCAAAUUAGUCACACGCUGCGUCAGGUAAUAUUUUUGUUUUGGCUAUAGAAUCUUAGAUACAUGGUCUUGCUUUAAUGUUUGAUAGCAAAUCAAGUUUUGUAAUUCUGUGCACAGAUUGGCAUAUUCUAGGCAGAUACUUAACUGGGCCUUGCCAUUUAAUUGGCAUAUUUGUGCACAGAUUAGUAGAAAAAAGACAUGACGUUACAAAGUCUGUAGGUUUGCCAUCCUCUAUAUUAGAAACGAGCUGGUUUUUAUUUGCUCGGAAUAUAUUUCUAUGUUGAAUGCUAAUAUUUUUGCUUUUGGAUUUGGUACUUAA
Molecule: long non-coding RNA, 1319 nt
Organism: Malus domestica (apple)
Lineage: Eukaryota; Viridiplantae; Streptophyta; Magnoliopsida; Rosales; Rosaceae
Source: RefSeq, a predicted model, not a curated record